This 27-nucleotide non-coding RNA is filed under the name Escherichia coli. RNAcentral also lists the same sequence under 1 other name. The record is from RNAcentral. Lineage: Bacteria; Pseudomonadati; Pseudomonadota; Gammaproteobacteria; Enterobacterales; Enterobacteriaceae.
GGAAGUUCGGUCUUCGGACCGGCUUCC